CCAAGGGGCUAAUUAUGCA
Molecule: unclassified non-coding RNA, 19 nt
Filed under: Chlamydomonas reinhardtii
Lineage: Eukaryota; Viridiplantae; Chlorophyta; Chlorophyceae; Chlamydomonadales; Chlamydomonadaceae
Description: small RNA Cre_0999
Source: RNAcentral